This 238-nucleotide ribosomal RNA is filed under the name Cladosporium sp. DTO 162-A4. RNAcentral describes it as "partial 28S ribosomal RNA". It matches the Rfam family "Eukaryotic large subunit ribosomal RNA", at positions 1 to 234 of the family's 3401-position model. Lineage: Eukaryota; Fungi; Ascomycota; Dothideomycetes; Cladosporiales; Cladosporiaceae. The record is from RNAcentral.
GUUGACCUCGGAUCAGGUAGGGAUACCCGCUGAACUUAAGCAUAUCAAUAAGCGGAGGAAAAGAAACCAACAGGGAUUGCUCUAGUAACGGCGAGUGAAGCAGCAAUAGCUCAAAUUUGAAAUCUGGCGUCUUCGGCGUCCGAGUUGUAAUUUGUAGAGGAUGCUUCUGAGUAGCCACCGACCUAAGUUCCUUGGAACAGGACGUCAUAGAGGGUGAGAAUCCCGUAUGCGGUCGGAA